CCUACGGGUGGCAGCAGUGGGGGAUAUUGCACAAUGGGGGGAACCCUGAUGCAGCGACGCCGCGUGGGUGAAGCAGUAUUUCGGUAUGUAAAGCUCUAUCAGCAGGGAAGAAAAAAGACGGUACCUGACUAAGAAGCCCCGGCUAACUACGUGCCAGCAGCCGCGGUAAUACGUAGGGGGCAAGCGUUAUCCGGAUUUACUGGGGGUAAAGGGAGCGUAGACGGCGCGGCAAGUCUGAAGUGAAAGGAAGGGGCUAAACCCCGGAACGGCUUUGGCAAUGGCAUGCUAGAGUGCUGGAGAGGUAAGUGGAAUUCCUAGGGUAGCGGUGAAAUGCGUAGAUAUUAGGAGGAACACCAGUGGCGAAGGCGGCUUACUGGACAGUAACUGACGUUGAGGAUCGAAAGCGUGGGUAGCAAACAGGAUUAGAUACCCGUGUAGUC
RNAcentral lists this ribosomal RNA (440 nucleotides) under uncultured bacterium. RNAcentral describes it as "partial 16S ribosomal RNA". It matches the Rfam family "Bacterial small subunit ribosomal RNA", at positions 338 to 795 of the family's 1533-position model. The record is from RNAcentral.